This 508-nucleotide ribosomal RNA is filed under the name uncultured bacterium. Its description in RNAcentral is "partial 16S ribosomal RNA". It matches the Rfam family "Bacterial small subunit ribosomal RNA", at positions 29 to 523 of the family's 1533-position model. The record is from RNAcentral.
AUUGAACGCUGGCGGCAGGCCUAACACAUGCAAGUCGAGCGGCAGCGGGAAAGUAGCUUGCUACUUUUGCCGGCGAGCGGCGGACGGGUGAGUAAUGCCCGGGAAAUUGCCCAGUCGAGGGGGAUAACAGUUGGAAACGACUGCUAAUACCGCAUACGCCCUAUGGGGGAAAGCAGGGGACCUUCGGGCCUUGCGCGCUUGGAUGUGCCCGGGUGGGAUAAGCUAGUUGGUGAGGUAAAGGCUCACCAAGGCAACGAUCCCUAGCUGGUCUGAGAGGAUGAUCAGCCACACUGGAAAUGAGACACGGUCCAGACCCCUACGGGAGGCAGCAGUGGGGAAUAUUGCACAAUGGGGGAAACCCUGAUGCAGCCAUGCCGCGUGUGUGAAGAAGGCUUUCGGGUUGUAAAGCACUUUCGGCGAGGAGAAAAGGUUGAUGCCUAAUCCGUAUAAACUGCGACGUUACUCGCAGAAGAAGCACCGGCUAACUCCGUGCCAGCAGCCGCGGUAA